Molecule: unclassified non-coding RNA, 4575 nt
Filed under: Pomacea canaliculata
Lineage: Eukaryota; Metazoa; Mollusca; Gastropoda; Architaenioglossa; Ampullariidae
Description: uncharacterized LOC112569230, transcript variant X1
Source: RNAcentral
AACAGUAAAGGACUUGCUCAGUCUUCUGGCAAACCUAUACUUAUAUCAUGAUCACACCGCUGAACCCAGCAAACAGUCGUCUAAUGAACCUAAGUAUGGAGACAUUUUUUCAAGUGUGCUAUUUUCUAAUACUAGCGAAUGUAUUCAAGCAAACACUUCCUUGUGAAUAUGGAAAUAUGAACACCGGCGAAGUAUUAUCUCAAAACGAAGGCAGUUUUUUAAAUAUUAGUUAUCUUCUAAAUAUUAGUGAAAACUCAGUAUCUACAGACACAACACGUCUCUAUGUUGAAGUGUGCCAAAAUAACAACAGAUCACUUCUGUGCGUGUUUAUAAGGCCAAAGCAGUCUCAGGACUUCACUGUGAAAUAUAAUAAUGUCAGAGAUGACACAGUGUGUGUAGCAGAGCGUCGCUACAUCACCAGCUCCAUGAGGACCUGGGAGAUAAAGAUUUCACAGCUACUCACUCGGUCCAUCACUGCUAUAUAUCUCGACAUUCAGGAUAAAAGACUACAGAGACAGACAGUGCUGCAGAUACCCAUUGAUGUGACAUACCCACCCAUAGUCACUAGUCUGACUGUAGAUGGACAAGAAGUAAACAACAAAUAUCUCAUAAAUGAGGGUCAGAAGGUCAUGGUCUCCUGCUCGUUUGAGAGAGGAAAUCCUCCUGUUGCCUUUGGACUUUUUGACAAAAAUAUGAAGAAGCUCGCUACAGAUGUAGACAAAAUUGGAGCAGGAAUAGUCAGGGGUAAAGGUCAUCUAAACAUCUCGUUUUCAGUCAUCUGUGAAGAUGUCUGGCCGACAUAUCAUUGUGAAGGAAGAGAGUCGGAGCAAAAUAAAUCCGUGUCCUUUCUUGUCAGAUGUGCUCCUCAGUUUGUUGAUAGUCCUGUCACACUGGUCACAUCAGAAGUCGAGAAAACAAAAUUUUAUGUCAAAGCCUACACAGCAGCAUUCAAUGAAUGUCGUCUGUCAUUACCCCUGUUAGGGGCUACACUAAUAGUGAAACUGAGAUGUAGUCUUACUGGUGACCCUCCUGAUCUGAUCUUAAGACUUCACCUUCAUGGAAACCUUUCACAAGGAAGCUGGGAAAUAAUUCUUGGCAAUGAAAAAGGCUCUGCAAACACAACAGUCAGAAUUAUUGAAGAAUCUAGUAAGUAUAUUAAAUCAUGUUUAUUAUAUAAUGACUACACUGGAAUUUCAGUUAUGCUUAUCCUUUACACAGAAUAAACUACAAGCUGUUUUUGCUGUUAAAGUUAAAGAGAUGAUAGUGCAGGAAAUUGAAUAAUAAUUAGCCUGUUGUGUGGUUUUUUGUUGCUAUCCUCAUCUUUGCUGCUAUUUAAGAGAAAAUAAAGACUAAGAACGGUAAGUUUAUGUAAUAAAAUAAUGUAGUCUUAUAUUUAUAAUUUAUUAGAUGUUGGUUUCGAAAUAUUGCUCUGCUUUCUCUUAGAAUGAAGUUCUCUUACAUUUUUUCUUGUUUCUGACACGUGUCUUCCAAAGAGGUUACAGCGUCCUCGUGAAGAAAUACUUUCCCCUUGGUUUGCUUUAUUGUUUAUGGAAGUAACCUUUGGAAAUCAGUCUGAGUAGGACACGUUGAGUGUGACUAGUAAAUAUUGCAAAGAAAACCAGUAAGACCGAACCAGGUUAUCUGAAUUUUAUUUUAGAUCGUUUCUUUUAACUGAUUCUUUAAGAUGCUAACGUGUUCAAACAUCACAACGACAGUUAAUUAUUCCAACAUCCAAAUACUGAAUAAGUUGUAUGGUGCCUACCCUACUGUAUAUGCGUUGCCAUGGCAAUUAAAUUGCAACAUAACAAGAGUAAUAUGCUUUAAUCGCUUUUAACAUUUCUUUGGUUUGUUGUAAUGUUUGUCUUUGUUUUUAUGUUUUGGCAUACACUUGUUAUCACAGUUUCUCUGCUAUCAAUUCAAUUAACUUCAAAAGGCCUUCAUUGGUCAUAUUAUUUUUUCUCCAGCCUUUAAGCUUGAAGUUUUAGUUUUUGUGGCUUUAUAUGCCUAAUUUUUUUCAGAGUUAUUUUGUAUUUUCACUCGAAAUAAACCGACGGGAAGUAAUAGUUUCUAUGUUUGAGAAAGUUGAUGAUGAUGUUUUUGAGUAAACAUAUUGGUAUCAGUUCAUGAAGUUUAAAAGGUUAUCAAGGGUAUCCCGGAAGUGACGCGCGUUUUUAUCAACGACUUAAUUUAUUCAUCGCGCGGCGCCAAUUAACACCUGACCUCACCUGGUAACCGUAGGUUUUCUCGGCGCUAAUGAUUUGGACUUGCAGCCUACAAGGAGGAACUCUACACCUACUUCGUUGGCGUAAGGUUUUGUGUGUCAUACAAAGCAUACUUAGUUGCCUCUUUUUGUCUGUUUUUCUGGCUGUGUGUGUCUAUAUGUAUUAGAAUAUUAUAGCUACAUAAAUCAUGCAAUGCAUUUGUCAAAGUCCAAAGUUCGCAAGGAAUGAAAAUGUGCGAGAUAAGUUUAAAGCAAACAAGAAUGGACUUCAUGAUGUUUUGAACCUCACUACUCAGGGCAAAGUUGAUAGCUACUAUAACAGACUAUAAUAUCAGUGAACUUAAGUAAAGGGAAAAUUAGGAAACAUUGAAAAAAACGAUGAAAAGAGAUAAUGAAGUAGAAGCAUAUAAAGGAAUGUAGAAAGAAAAGGACCUAAAAGUAAAAUAUUGUUAAAGCAAAUAAAUUGACUGAAAAGUCUAGACAGACGAACAGGCAAGCAAGCGCGCUGAAAAAAAAGCGGAAAGAUUGAUAUACACAAUUACAGAGAGAGAAAGACUGUUCUUGUAAUCACAUUUAGAGUUCAUCAACAAAUGUUGCCUUGCUCUAACAGAGAAUAGGAAGAGUGUUUCCUGGCGAUAAGACUCACCAACGAGUACUUAGGUCUUAAAGUCGAGAGUGAAGCUGUUUGUAAUAAAAUGACAGAGUUGAGGACAGAAGCUUAUGUUUGUAAUCCCUUGGUUAUUGACUUUGAUGAGUUAGAUGUAUUAGGUUCGUUUCUCCUCCGAUGACAGUAAAGAGACUGUAGAGAUUUAACUGAGUAUUAGGAAAUGAGGAGACUGUUGCGGUCAACGAAAUGCAUGAAAAUUUUAAAUUAACAGAGCAAUCACAUAGAAAUUCUGAAGUACAAUUAUUUCCAAAUUAUGAACCUCCCCGACUCGUGGGAGAAAAUUAACUAGAAGAUCGAGGUACAGAUAUUUAACGCCGAGCCAGCAACUGCCUCUGUAUGACCGUUGAGCAGCCCACCAUAGAAAUGGUCCGACACUUUGACCAGAAACGGCCAAUAACAAAAAAACAUGAACAAUAUCUUUGUAUAAAUAUAAAUACAUCGCUCGAAAACUAAACUUUCCAAAAAAAACUUUUUAAAUUGAAUUACACAUUUUAAGAUAUUAUAGAUUUAAACAUAUUUUUUGUGAACAAAUGAAGCUUAAGUAGAAGUAACGAAAAACACCCGGCAUUUGUCUGACGAAUGGCGGGAGAAUGAGAGAGGAGACUGUAAAGUUUAAUGGGGGAAGGGAGACUCUACUAAAUAUGAUAAUAGAAGUUUUCUCUUUUCAGUACUCAGCAGGUGAAAAACAUAAGAACUGUUUAGUGACACUCACUCAUUAGGGACUAAUUCUUCUUCAAUUUUUCUGUUUUAAUGUCAUGAAAGAGACUGGAUUUUACGUUGAUGAAUUAUCUGAUUUACUAUUAACUCGGAGACGCCAUCAUGUGGUAGGAAUGCUGACGACUGAUGAACAAGACAAAGUUUUAUACAACCUACAGUUCGUCCACGAUGACCAUCGGCAUCACAAAAGAACACAGCACGCAGACAUCAAAGUCACUACCAUCUUCCACCUCUCCAAGUCUACAAACAGAAGAUAGUAAAAUGUGUAAAGAUCAAGGGAUGGCUGAUGUAAGAAUACUGACAGAAAGAGAAACAAAAGAAGAUACUUUGCAACCAUCAGACACAUUUCUUGACGGAGCUUAGUAUAUCUGUAUAGUCUGUAACUCAACAGUUGUGUAUACCAUAUCUCCAUGUUGAGGCUGACAGAUGUCUACAUAGUUUUCUUGACACAUAUUUAAUGAAGAAUGGCUAAAUAUCCUGCAUUGAGAUCUCUUAUAGGAAAUGUUGGAGUAUCUUUGGAUGUGGCUGCAGUCUACAGGGUUGAUUACCUAGAGCUAGAGUUGCUUCUUUUUCUUUUAUUGUAAUCUACUAAUUAGUCAAUAAAAUGUUUCACUCGUGUGACAAAAAAAAGUAUUUAAUAUUUCUGUGAGCACUGGUCUGAUUUUCUCACCGUUUCCUCCAGCCUUUACCAGGGAAGGAAAGCUUUAUUAUUAUUACUGUUGUUGUUAGCUUUAUUGAAAUUGACGUGCAAGAAGAACGGAAUGAAAUAUGUGGCUUUUACAGGAACAUAUAUUAUUUCCGCGUUGUAACCUUCCAAGUGAAGAAAGAUGUUUGACUACAGCCUCUGGUUCACACUUGCCACUGCGAUGUUUUAUUGCUAUCUUAUACAAAUUAUGUAGUUUAUAUGACACGUAAGUCAUCAUGGUGUUUUACUUCUCUGAAGGGAUGUUAAAAAUUGUUAAGUAUAAUA